GUGGAACUCCCGAUGUGGCUGCGCCCUUCUGUGUAUAAAGGAUGGGCUAGAGCAUUUCAUUCAAACUUGGAAGAAGUAGCACUGCCUUUGGAAGAAUAUGCAUCUUUACGGGAGUUCUUUGUCAGAAGAUUGAAAGAGGGUACCCGACCUAUUGAUCCGGAUCCCUGUUGUCUGGUAACUGAUUAGUCCAGUUGAUGGAACUGUUCUACAAUUCGGAGAGUUGAAAGAAGUUGGGGCUAUGAUUGAGCAAGUCAAAGGAUUUUCUUAUUCUGUUUCUUCGCUUCUUGGUGCCAGCUCCCUCCUUCCCAUGAAUGUGGUUGAUGACAACACAAAUCAAGAUGGUGGGCAAGAAGGUUCUAUGGAUGAUACGAAUCAGAAGU
Molecule: unclassified non-coding RNA, 380 nt
Filed under: Hevea brasiliensis (rubber tree)
Lineage: Eukaryota; Viridiplantae; Streptophyta; Magnoliopsida; Malpighiales; Euphorbiaceae
Source: RNAcentral